This 253-nucleotide ribosomal RNA is filed under the name uncultured bacterium. RNAcentral's name for it is "partial 16S ribosomal RNA". It matches the Rfam family "Bacterial small subunit ribosomal RNA", at positions 524 to 776 of the family's 1533-position model. The record is from RNAcentral.
UACGUAGGGUGCAAGCGUUGUUCGGAAUCAUUGGGCGUAAAGCGCGUGUAGGUUGCUAGUAAAGUCUUGUGUGAAAUCCCUCGGCUCAACCGGGGAAGUGCAUGGGAAACUCAUUAGCUGGAAGAUGGUAGAGGAAGGUGGAAUUCCAAGUGUAGAGGUGAAAUUCGUAGAUAUUUGGAGGAAUACCGGUGGCGAAGGCGGCCUUCUGGACCAUUCUUGACACUGAGACGCGAAAGCGUGGGGAGCAAACAGG